GGGAAGGUAGCUCAGAGGUAGAGUGCUUGCCUUCUAUGCAUGAGGCCCUAGGUUUGAUUCCUCAGUAUCA
Molecule: non-coding RNA, 70 nt
Organism: Dipodomys ordii (Ord's kangaroo rat)
Lineage: Eukaryota; Metazoa; Chordata; Mammalia; Rodentia; Heteromyidae
Source: Rfam